RNAcentral lists this transfer RNA (65 nucleotides) under Dipodomys ordii (Ord's kangaroo rat). It matches the Rfam family "tRNA". Rfam says of the family: Transfer RNA (tRNA) molecules are approximately 80 nucleotides in length. Their secondary structure includes four short double-helical elements and three loops (D, anti-codon, and T loops). Lineage: Eukaryota; Metazoa; Chordata; Mammalia; Rodentia; Heteromyidae. The record is from Rfam by way of RNAcentral.
GGUGGCUCAGUGGUAGAGUACUUGCCUUGCAUGCAUGAGAUGAUGGGUUCAAUUCCUGUGCACCA